RNAcentral lists this ribosomal RNA (446 nucleotides) under uncultured bacterium. RNAcentral's name for it is "partial 16S ribosomal RNA". It matches the Rfam family "Bacterial small subunit ribosomal RNA", at positions 338 to 795 of the family's 1533-position model. The record is from RNAcentral.
CCUACGGGGGGCAGCAGUAGGGAAUUUUCGGCAAUGGGGGGAACCCUGACCGAGCAACGCCGCGUGAACGAAGAAGUUAUUCGUAAUGUAAAGUUCUUUUAACAGGGAAGAAAGAGAAAUUUGACGGUACCUGAAGAAUAAGCUCCGGCUAACUACGUGCCAGCAGCCGCGGUAAUACGUAGGGAGCGAGCGUUAUGUGGAAUUAUUGGGGGUAAAGGGUGCGUAGAUGGCAUAGUAAGUCUUUUGUAAAAAGGCUGGGCUCAACCCAGUAGGGCAAAAGAUACUGCAAAGCUAGAGUAUGACAGAGGCAAGUGGAACUACAUGUGUAGCGGUAAAAUGCGUAAAUAGAUGUAAGAACACCAGUGGCGAAGGCGGCUUGCUGGGUCGAUACUGACAUUGAGGCACGAAAGCGUGGGGAGCAAACAGGAUUAGAUACCCUUGUAGUC